GGACAUAACUCAGUUGGUAGAGUACUUGCCUUGCAUGCACAAGGCCCUGGGUUCAAGCCCCAGCACCA
This 68-nucleotide transfer RNA is filed under the name Marmota monax (woodchuck). Its description in RNAcentral is "tRNA.Ala". The stretch from base 6 to 63 matches the Rfam family "tRNA", at positions 8 to 63 of the family's 71-position model. From Rfam's summary of the family: Transfer RNA (tRNA) molecules are approximately 80 nucleotides in length. Their secondary structure includes four short double-helical elements and three loops (D, anti-codon, and T loops). Lineage: Eukaryota; Metazoa; Chordata; Mammalia; Rodentia; Sciuridae. The record is from RNAcentral.